GACGAACGCUGGCGGCGUGCUUAACACAUGCAAGUCGAACGGAAAGGCCCUGCUUUUGUGGGGUGCUCGAGUGGCGAACGGGUGAGUAACACGUGAGUAACCUGCCCUUGACUUUGGGAUAACUUCAGGAAACUGGGGCUAAUACCGGAUAGGAGCUCCUGCUGCAUGGUGGGGUUGGAAAGUUUCGGCGGUUGGGGAUGGACUCGCGGCUUAUCAGCUUGUUGGUGGGGUAGUGGCUUACCAAGGCUUUGACGGGUAGCCGGCCUGAGAGGGUGACCGGCCACAUUGGGACUGAGAUACGGCCCAGACUCCUACGGGAGGCAGCAGUGGGGAAUAUUGCACAAUGGGCGGAAGCCUGAUGCAGC
This 365-nucleotide ribosomal RNA is filed under the name uncultured bacterium. Its description in RNAcentral is "bacterial SSU rRNA". It matches the Rfam family "Bacterial small subunit ribosomal RNA", at positions 28 to 392 of the family's 1533-position model. The record is from RNAcentral.